Molecule: ribosomal RNA, 495 nt
Filed under: Salmonella enterica
Lineage: Bacteria; Pseudomonadati; Pseudomonadota; Gammaproteobacteria; Enterobacterales; Enterobacteriaceae
Also listed under: 1 other name
Description: bacterial SSU rRNA
Rfam family: Bacterial small subunit ribosomal RNA
Source: RNAcentral
AAAUUGAAGAGUUUGAUCAUGGCUCAGAUUGAACGCUGGCGGCAGGCCUAACACAUGCAAGUCGAACGGUAACAGGAAGCAGCUUGCUGCUUCGCUGACGAGUGGCGGACGGGUGAGUAAUGUCUGGGAAACUGCCUGAUGGAGGGGGAUAACUACUGGAAACGGUGGCUAAUACCGCAUAACGUCGCAAGACCAAAGAGGGGGACCUUCGGGCCUCUUGCCAUCAGAUGUGCCCAGAUGGGAUUAGCUUGUUGGUGAGGUAACGGCUCACCAAGGCGACGAUCCCUAGCUGGUCUGAGAGGAUGACCAGCCACACUGGAACUGAGACACGGUCCAGACUCCUACGGGAGGCAGCAGUGGGGAAUAUUGCACAAUGGGCGCAAGCCUGAUGCAGCCAUGCCGCGUGUAUGAAGAAGGCCUUCGGGUUGUAAAGUACUUUCAGCGGGGAGGAAGGUGUUGUGGUUAAUAACCACAGCAAUUGACGUUACCCGCAGA